Molecule: ribosomal RNA, 520 nt
Filed under: uncultured Glomus
Lineage: Eukaryota; Fungi; Glomeromycota; Glomeromycetes; Glomerales; Glomeraceae
Description: SSU rRNA
Rfam family: Eukaryotic small subunit ribosomal RNA
Source: RNAcentral
AGCAGCCGCGGUAAUUCCAGCUCCAAUAGCGUAUAUUAAAGUUGUUGCAGUUAAAAAGCUCGUAGUUGAAUUUCGGGGUUAGUAGGUUGGUCAUGCCUCUGGUAUGUACUGGUCUCACUGAUUCCUCCUUCUUUAUGAACCGUAAUGCCAUUAAUUUGGUGUUGCGGGGAAUUUGGACUGUUACUUUGAAAAAAUUAGAGUGUUUAAAGCAAGCUAACGCUUGAACACAUUAGCAUGGAAUAAUGAAAUAGGACGUUCGAUCUUAUUUUGUUGGUUUCUAGGAUUGACGUAAUGAUUAAUAGGGAUAGUUGGGGGCAUUAGUAUUCAAUUGUCAGAGGUGAAAUUCUUGGAUUUAUUGAAGACUAACUACUGCGAAAGCAUUUGCCAAGGAUGUUUUCAUUAAUCAAGAACGAAAGUUAGGGGAUCGAAGACGAUCAGAUACCGUCGUAGUCUUAACCAUAAACUAUGCCGACUAGGGAUCGGAUGAUGUUAAUUUUUAAUGACUCAUUCGGCGCCUUAC